AUGGAGGGGCGGGAUUGCGACUCAGCAUCGGAGAGCUUCUCUAAGCACGUCAGUGGGCAAAUGUUCCGAGUCAAUGCCCUCCUUGUGGUGAACGCCAUCCUGAUGGGAGUCAUGGUUGGCACAGGUGCAUACGGCCAUCGCUAUCGCCACCAUCCACUAACCCGCUACAUCUUCUUGGGUGCCACUGCAUUGUUCAUUCCCAUAAUCUCCUAUGUCCUAUCUGCCAUUGGUAAUCAGAAUGGCAUUAUCCUUUUUGCCGCUGGAGAAAUCAUAAUAGGCCAGUGUGAUCCAAGUAGACACAUGAACCUAGUCUUAUUAUGGACUGGCCUUGUUCAAAUGGUUGGUAUCAGCACCACUUUGGUAGUGGUUAGUGAUCCUAGAGAAGGGCGAAACAUUGGCCCAUCUGGGGUACUACUUGUGCAGGCAAUGUGGACUUCCUACCUUAUGAUCUAUAACAUAGGAUUGAAUUAUGAUGUAUCAUCCUACAAUAAUACUCGUAGCUACCUCAAGUGGUCUCUGGUAUAUGCAUUUUCUCUAGAAGGAUUGAAGGUUAUCCCACCAUUUGCUCUUACCUUUGCCAAGUUACUUUUCAAGUGUUUUGCAUGGUACAAGGCCAGAAAAUCAUUAGCAAUUAAUUGGAUGCAAUCCUCGUCUUAUUGUUGGAUACAUGGAGGAGCUACAAGACACUGA
This 690-nucleotide ribosomal RNA is filed under the name Triticum aestivum (bread wheat). Its description in RNAcentral is "partial small subunit ribosomal RNA". The record is from RNAcentral. Lineage: Eukaryota; Viridiplantae; Streptophyta; Magnoliopsida; Poales; Poaceae.